Molecule: ribosomal RNA, 460 nt
Filed under: uncultured bacterium
Lineage: Bacteria
Description: partial 16S ribosomal RNA
Rfam family: Bacterial small subunit ribosomal RNA
Source: RNAcentral
CCUACGGGAGGCAGCAGUGAGGAAUAUUGGGCAAUGGACGAGAGUCUGAACCAGCCAAGUAGCGUGAAGGAUGACUGCCCUAUGGGUUGUAAACUUCGUUUAUAUGGGAAUACAAUGGUCCACGUGUGGGGUUUUGUAUGUACCAUAUGAAUAAGGAUCGGCUAACUCUGUGCCAGCAGCCGCGGUAAUACGGAGGAUCCGAGAGUUAUCCGGGUUUGUUGGGUUUAGAGGUAGCGUAGGUGGAUUGUUAAGUCAGUUGUGAAAGUUUGCGGCUCAACCGUAAAAUUGCAGUUGAAACUGGCAGUCUUGAGUACAGUAGAGGUGGGCGGAAUUCGUGGUGUAGCGGUGAAAUGCUUAGAUAUCACGAAGAACUCCGAUUGCGAAGGCAGCUCACUGGACUGCAACUGACACUGAGGCUCGAAAGUGUGGGUAUCAAACAGGAUUAGAUACCCCUGUAGUC